RNAcentral lists this long non-coding RNA (1538 nucleotides) under Canis lupus familiaris (dog). Its description in RNAcentral is "lncRNA (ENSCAFG00845028006.1)". The record is from RNAcentral. Lineage: Eukaryota; Metazoa; Chordata; Mammalia; Carnivora; Canidae.
GCCCCAGAACCCUGGAGGAAAACAUCGCUGGCGGGGGGAGAAGGGAGAUGCCUUUAAAUGUAAAGAUACAAUGCAAACCACCUCAACUCUGUGAGCUAAAAGCCCAGCAGUGGGCAUCCGUGCAGGGGGCAGCUGCUUGGGGGUAGGCUCUCUGUCCCCUCUUCCUUUUUGAUCUUUUAUUAAGGGCUUGUUUUGGUUCUGUGGUUGCUAUGCUACGGGAGCAUUUGGUGGCUGCUUGGAGAGGCCACGUGGAAGACUGUUUGUAUCAGUUCUACCCUGGAGGCAAGAACUUAGCAGGUGGCCAAGCUUCAGGUUGAGGAGGGAUCCAGAUCAUGGGGGGUGGGGGAUAUCGUGGGGUCUUCAGGAGGAAGCAGGCUGACAACAGCCACAGGGACCCAGCCCCUGGACAUGGCCCAGAGAGAGCCAAUGGACCCCGACGUGCUGUGUGAUCUGUAGAAAGUCUUCCACCUCUCUGAGUCCGAGUCUCCUGAUCUGUCCAAGAAGAACAGGUGCCCAAACAACCUUGCUGGGGUGAGGACAUGGAAGUGAGGAAAGAAAAAUGAAAUCUUUGCUGAUGGUCUAUUAUACGGCACCCAUCAUCUCCUGAAAUCUUUACAAUGCCCCAUUUUGCAGAUGUGGAAGGGGAGACCCAGAGAAGUGGGGUGACUCGCCUAAAGCUGCACAGCCCGGGAGAGAAGAGUUGGGAGUCUCUCGUUAUGCUGAGUGAAAUAAGUCAAUCGGAGAAGGGGAAUAUCAGAAAAUGAUGCUCGGUUUCUAACAGCCUAAUGAUUCUGUGGAGCACGGGCAUCGCACGGCUCUGUCCCAGUGCUGCCCCCACAGGAGCAUUAGCGAUCCUUCCAGCAACGCUGUAAGAAAGCAAUGUCUGAAGAAAGAAAGGAACAGAUGCGCUUUGAGAAGUAGAAAGGAUUGGAUCGCAUGGAGCUCUAGGAGUUGCCCGCGAGGCUCCCAAAGGCCCCUUCCGAGAAGCAGGUGCAGAGAAGUCCCACCCCAUCCCUCAGCUGUUGGCCUCUCUCAUUCAAAGAAAACAGCUUCUGCCUCUCUGCAUGUUCCCCAACUCCACACACUAGCCAGAGGGGGUGCUCUCCGGGGCCAAUCAGAUGGCGCCACUGCCUUGCUCAGAACCCUCCCAUGGCUCCCCAGUGCCUUCAAGAUCAAGCCCCAACUUCUUUCUGUGGUCACCAUGUACCUCCAGGGUGCUGCUACCUGGCCAGCCUUACCUUUUCCUCCUGCACCCUACGGAAGCCCCAGGUCAACCUGCAAAACCACCCACAUCUCCCUUCAGCUAAUACAGUUUUUCUCCCCUGGAUAAUUUUGCACUCACGAUCCCCUUGUUCUGGGUAGCCCUCUCCCCACUGCCAGCCUUGUCCAUGUGAUGUUCAGAGCCAGACUCUUCACCCAGGUGCACAAAGCUGCCUGGGGAAAGCCUGAAACGCUGUGCCAAAAAAGUUGGAGGAUGGGCCCUUCUCCACUUCCCCCAUCUGAUUUCCUGCAGUCUGUUUGCUGGUCAACAGCUUGCA